RNAcentral lists this ribosomal RNA (509 nucleotides) under uncultured bacterium. RNAcentral describes it as "bacterial LSU rRNA". It matches the Rfam family "Bacterial large subunit ribosomal RNA", at positions 716 to 1228 of the family's 2925-position model. The record is from RNAcentral.
CGAAAACCCGGUGAUCUACCCAUGUCCAGGAUGAAACGAGGGUAAAAACCUCGUGGAGGUCCGAACUCACUACAGUUGAAAAUGUAGGGGAUGAGGUGUGGGUCGGAGUGAAAGGCUAAUCAAACCGGGAGAUAGCUGGUUCUCGCCGAAAGAUAUUUAGGUAUCGCCUCGGAAAACUCUGUCGAGGAGGUAGAGCACUGGAUGGGCUAGGGGUCUUACCAGAUUACCAAACCCAACCAAACUCCUAAUGCCUCGACAUUUACUCCGGGAGUCAGGCUGUGGGAGCUAAGUUCCAUGGCCAAAAGGGAAAGAGCCCAGACCGCCAGCUAAGGUCCCUAAGUCGUUGCUAAGUGGUAAAGGAUGUGGAAGCACACAGACAACCAGGAGGUUGGCUUAGAAGCAGCCAUCCUUUAAAGAAAGCGUAAUAGCUCACUGGUCAAGUGAGUCCGCGCCGAAAAUUUAACGGGGCUAAAGUACGCACCGAAGCUGCGGGUUGAUUUUAUCAGCGG